Molecule: long non-coding RNA, 865 nt
Filed under: Homo sapiens (human)
Lineage: Eukaryota; Metazoa; Chordata; Mammalia; Primates; Hominidae
Description: HSALNT0362939
Source: RNAcentral
GGGUGAGGGGCGCCACCGAGGAAGCGCCCACCGGGCUCCCGGGGCUGCCAGGCCCCAAAUUGAGGAAGUUGACUGCCAGAUCACACUCUGUUGGCCCACGCAGAUAGAUUCCAUUCAUCCUUUCUAAUGUCUACACCAUAUUUUGGAUAACAUGCCAUCAUCUCACAUUGUGUUGAAAGAAGAAACCAGAAUGUUGGGGUUGAUGUAUGCCAUAUGGAUGAAUUUAAACAGUUUCGGCCUUGCAAUAAUUGGUAUACUUCUAAUUGCAUGUGAAAUUAUACUCUUUUUAACGAAAGAUGAAACUAUUCAGUGGCCACAUGUACCCAGUAACAGAGGGAGCAAAGCAAAUCUUAUCCUCAAAGAACUGCAGCUGCUUGUUAGAUCUACCUGGUGGUUCCAUAGAGAAACUGCUCAGAGAACCUGCCUUUACCUCGCCUAAAACAGAACUAUCCCGGAGCUCAGUUCAUCAACUCAGGAUCCAGUAGUGUAAUACAGAAGCCUGUUACGAGAUAUAAGCAAUUGUAAUGAACAGCAUAACUAUUUGUGUGACUACACUUGGUAUAAUUCUAUUAAGCAUGGAGAUUGCAACUUUUGCAUUAAAUGCAACCACAUACAAUUGGUCAAACGCACUUUGCCCUCGGAAAUCUCACUGUCGGAAUCCUUGGAAAUCACACCACGCACAACUUCUAUUUCUUCAUAAUUUGCAAAGAACCAGUGUGACUCCAGUCAAGAACAAAAGAUUAAUUGUGAAUUAGCGAAGAACUCUAAUUUUUUCAAGCAGCCACAUGGAAAACGCAUUCUAAUGAAAUCCUUUCCAUUGCUCUUUUUUCUUAGUUCUUCAAUAAAGCAUGCGAUUUGAUCACAA